GCCGGGCGUGGUGGCUCACGCCUGUAAUCCCAGCAUUUUGGGAGGCUGAGGUGGGUGGAUCACCGGAGGUCAGGAGUUCGAGACCAGCCUGACCAAUAUGGUGAAACCCCAUCUUUU
Callithrix jacchus (white-tufted-ear marmoset) is the source of this 117-nucleotide unclassified non-coding RNA. It matches the Rfam family "Metazoan signal recognition particle RNA". From Rfam's summary of the family: The signal recognition particle (SRP) is a universally conserved ribonucleoprotein. It is involved in the co-translational targeting of proteins to membranes. The eukaryotic SRP consists of a 300-nucleotide 7S RNA and six proteins: SRPs 72, 68, 54, 19, 14, and 9. Lineage: Eukaryota; Metazoa; Chordata; Mammalia; Primates; Cebidae. The record is from Ensembl.